AUGUGGAAGAUCCCGUAUGCGAACGAGGUCCCGCCAGACCUCAAGAUUCUGAUUCGCCACCUUGAAGCAGUGGUGGCUCGUCUGGGCGGAAAAGGUGGUCUUGCCACUUCCUACACAUCAGCACCCGCGCCGGCACAUGUGUCAUCUCUGCUGGAGAAACUCGAUGCAGCUCAUGCGGGGAUCACUCAAGGACUUCGCCGCCUCGAGAAGGAAGGGCCGCGCCUGGAGAGACGCCUUACCGACCUUGCCUCCCUCUGCAAAAGACAAAAGAAGUUGGCCGAAGAACAUCGGACACUUGCCGACAAACAAUAG
This 312-nucleotide ribosomal RNA is filed under the name Triticum aestivum (bread wheat). RNAcentral describes it as "partial small subunit ribosomal RNA". Lineage: Eukaryota; Viridiplantae; Streptophyta; Magnoliopsida; Poales; Poaceae. The record is from RNAcentral.